RNAcentral lists this long non-coding RNA (575 nucleotides) under Vigna radiata. RNAcentral describes it as "long non-coding RNA (VRAD_LNC013125)". The record is from RNAcentral. Lineage: Eukaryota; Viridiplantae; Streptophyta; Magnoliopsida; Fabales; Fabaceae.
GAAAAUCAUAACAAAUUAGAAAAAUAUAAAUUAAUAAAACCUACUUCAUCAGACUUCAGAAAUUUCGACGAACAGCGGAGGCAGAAGCACAACCACAGUGCUUUCAGUUCGCACGGAGAUAUCUACGAACACGUCUUCCCCUAACCUAGCUCAAAUUCUCUCUAUAGCCUAAACCACAACCACAGUUGCGCGGAGGGAGUGUUCUCGAAGUGUUCGGAGGGAGGAGUGCCGAGAAAUUAAAGAUGCGUGGUGUGGGAGUGCUGAUAAAUUAGAGAUGCAUGGUGUUGAUGCUGCUUUAGACACGAAGGAAGAGGCAAAGAGCGGAGUGUUCGAAGCUUUAGAGAGGAAGAACGGGAGAGAAACGAAAUGAAGGAAACGUUGAAAUGAAAUUAGGGAAAUGUAAAAAAUUAGAAAGGAAGAGAUAUUAUAACUGAUUUCUAGAAGUCCGUUAUAAUAGGUUAUGGACUUAUUUACAAUUUUACCACCACGUUUCAUAUUAUAGCUGAUUUAGAAAAUGUGUUAUAAUAGGUCCUACACUUAUUUACAAACUUGUCACCGCAUUUCAUAUUAUAACU